This 243-nucleotide long non-coding RNA is filed under the name Glycine max (soybean). Its description in RNAcentral is "long non-coding RNA (GMAX_LNC000481)". Lineage: Eukaryota; Viridiplantae; Streptophyta; Magnoliopsida; Fabales; Fabaceae. The record is from RNAcentral.
CGGGAAUGAGAUUUCUGGCCAGGCCUUAUAUACGUCCAUACAAAUUAACUUUGUCCAUAUGUCAGUCUGUCAGCUGAAGCUUUUGGAGCUGACCCAUCAACUCCUCCUAUGAUUUUAAUGUUUGUUGCCACCUUCUCUGCACAAGAAAUUCAUUCGUGUUACGUUGCAUGGAUAUAGGCACACAACACAAGUCCAUCGGUUCAGCUUCCGGUACAAUGGUUCCACAAAAUUGACAAGACAAAC